UGUUGGUUCAUCACCACCAGUCGGUGUG
Molecule: microRNA, 28 nt
Filed under: Rhipicephalus microplus (southern cattle tick)
Lineage: Eukaryota; Metazoa; Arthropoda; Arachnida; Ixodida; Ixodidae
Description: rmi-miR-5334
Source: miRBase by way of RNAcentral